This is a long non-coding RNA of Hemicordylus capensis (graceful crag lizard), 2209 nucleotides long. RefSeq lists it as uncharacterized. The transcript has 3 exons. NCBI's taxonomy places the organism in Eukaryota, Metazoa, Chordata, Lepidosauria, Squamata, Cordylidae. The record is from RefSeq and is a predicted model, not a curated record.
GGAGGAUUGAAUCAAAGAUGCUAUUCAAAAGUCAGAAGAGAACAAGGAAUAGAAAAGAGAAGAACAGCCAAACAGAUGACUAGAAACACAUUCAGAAUUGACAGUGCUGAUCCUAUCCUAGAUGAGCCAGGAGUGCAACAACAAAAACACUACAGACAUUCUCAAGUCUAACAGCAUUCAACACAAGAAAGGCACAGGAGCAGCAGGAGCACAAGACAAGAGGCAAGAUAAAUAUGUAAGCCAUAAAGAGCACCAACAAAAACAGUCAACAGUAAACAAAGGCCAAGGCAUGUGCAUUAUAAGCAAAACCAAAGGGCCACACAGAGCAAGACAUCCUCUUACACGUCUGCCUUUGUGAGCUGGAAUACAGGAAGGAGAGCGCUUUAACAAAGAAAGGAGGAGACUGUUAAGAAAAUGUAACAGAAAGGCACACCAUCCAAAUUUGUAUCACAAGACACACAAAAUAGUAUAUACACUACUUUCAUUUGCAAAUACAGAAGAACUUGUACUAGGGUGUUCUUAAUGAACCAGAAGACAGAAAUGUGGGUAAACAUAGAGAAACAGUUAUUUCCAAGACUUCAUUCACAACAGCUGCUUCUCUAAAUGAAAGGCUAUUUUAGACUAAGCCUGUAUGAUUUGCACAAGAAAUACCAUGUUUGUUAAAAAAAAGAUUGUUUUCAUAUCCCUGGGAGAGCCAAAGAUGCUCAACUGAAAAUGCAGCUAAACUAGAUAGGAUUUCAAACAUACUAUUUCAUCCUCACUUGGAAUAGUGUGUCCAGUUCUGGGCAUAGCACUGUAUAACAGGAACAGGUUCAUAGGACAACAAUGUUGGUGAGGGGUCUGAAAAGAAGUCCUAUGAAAAACAGUUGAAGGAGCUGUAUGUUCAGAUUGGGGAAGACAAGACAAGGGGAGAUAUGAUAGCCAUCUUCAAAACAUCUGACGGACUAUCACAUCGAAGGAGGCGUAAAUUUGUUUUUUUGUUCCUCCAGACAGCAGGUUGAAAUUUCAAGGAAGCAUUGCUAGGAUAGAAACUAGAAAUAAUUUCCUGACUACUUUACAGGGGAAUAGUCCAUCUUGCACAGUGGUGGGCUCAGCUUUGCUGGAAGUUUUCAAACAGCAGCUAGACAGCCAUCUGCCAAGGAUGCUGACAGUUUCCAGCACUGAGCAGGUGGUUGGACUAGAAGAUCUCCAAGAUACCUUCCAACUCUAAAAUUCUAUGAUCCUGUGUGUUUGAAGUGUGUAUGCUUUUUUAAAAAAAUGCUAAUUAGCAGAUGUAGAGGUCCCUGAUUGGACUGUGGGGGGUGGAGGUGGGAAUUGAAUGGAGCAUGUAAACUUUGCUCCCACUGAAGUUGUGAUCUGGAUUGGGCCCCUGCAGCUGCUAUUUACACGAAAAAAACCAAACUAACAUGCACGGUCAAAUAUUACAUCUAAGAGCUAAACUACAUGGGAUAUUAAACACGCCCGUAAUUGAGAGACUUAACAAGGAAGUGAACAGGAAAUGGUCCUUCUGCAUUAAAAAGUGUGUGUGUUAAAAAGUGAGAGAGAGAACAGUUCAUGGCAAAAGGAGGGACAUUAAUACUUUCACACUAUAUUGUUUCCACUCUUAAACCACCACCACCCUCCCACAAAACAGCAAUUUAAGCACCUAUUUGUAGUAAACACUCACUUCAGCUGCUUCAGGAUAGGGGGUGGGCAAUAUUCAGCACAAAAAUAGCAUGGGGUUAAGUGUGAUCAGAACUUUUAGCUGAGAAUGUGGUAUAGACAUGGAGCCCUUCACAGCAGGCCUGCAAAAUUUGUAAUCCAUCAAGCUAAAAACAGUUCCUCAGCCAUGCACAGUCAUUGUCGAUAACGUUCUUCUUCCUUAGUUUCAGGAAUUGGCCAAAACAGGUGCCCAUAUAUUGUUUUAAAAAAUUGUGUGUGUUCAAAUAUUGCUUUUUAUUUAUGAAUACAACAUUAACGUAUUGCUUUUUGAAGAGGGCACUUAGUAUGAUUUUUUUAAAAAAAGAAUCCUAUGAGAAACAUUAAUUGCUUUUAUCUGUUGUCCUUUUUAAAAUGGAAUUCUAUUAAAGUAGUUGGAGCAAAGAGAAGACAGCUAUGGCUAAACAUUAGAAGUGUAAAUAUACAAAUGAAAUACAUGCUAUAAACUAACUAUGUAAGAUGUUAAUUUUUCCUACAAAAGUACUUCCACAACAGCUUAUUAAAGAUUAUA